Molecule: ribosomal RNA, 497 nt
Filed under: uncultured bacterium
Lineage: Bacteria
Description: partial 16S ribosomal RNA
Rfam family: Bacterial small subunit ribosomal RNA
Source: RNAcentral
GAUGAACGCUGGCGGCGUGCCUAAUACAUGCAAGUCGUGCGAACGGACGAGAAGCUUGCUUCUCUGAUGUUAGCGGCGGACGGGUGAGUAACACGUGGAUAACCUACCUAUAAGACUGGGAUAACUUCGGGAAACCGGAGCUAAUACCGGAUAAUAUUUUGAACCGCAUGGUUCAAAAGCGAAAGACGGUCUUGCUGUCACUUAUAGAUGGAUCCGCGCUGCAUUAGCUAGUUGGUAAGGUAACGGCUUACCAAGGCAACGAUGCAUAGCCGACCUGAGAGGGUGAUCGGCCACACUGGAACUGAGACACGGUCCAGACUCCUACGGGAGGCAGCAGUAGGGAAUCUUCCGCGAUGGGCGAAAGCCUGACGGAGCGACGCCGCGUGAAUGAUGAAGGUCUUCGGAUCGUAAAACUCUGUUAUUAUUGAAGAACAUAUGUAUAAGUAACUAUGCACAUCUUGACGGUACCUACACAAAAAGCCACGGCUAACUACGUG